UACUCCUACGGGAGGCAGCAGUAGGGAAUCUUCCACAAUGGACGAAAGUCUGAUGGAGCAACGCCGCGUGAGUGAAGAAGGUUUUCGGAUCGUAAAACUCUGUUGUGAGGGAAGAACAAGUACGAGAGUAACUGCUCGUACCUUGACGGUACCUCAUUAGAAAGCCACGGCUAACUACGUGCCAGCAGCCGCGGUAAUACGUA
Molecule: ribosomal RNA, 203 nt
Filed under: uncultured bacterium
Lineage: Bacteria
Description: partial 16S ribosomal RNA
Rfam family: Bacterial small subunit ribosomal RNA
Source: RNAcentral